UCCGUGUUCACCACGGCAGUCUCCUUAGAGUGCCCAACUAAAUGCUGGCAACUAAGAACAAGGGUUGCGCUCGUUGCGGGACUUAACCCAACAUGUCACCACACGAGCUGACGACAGCCAUGCAGCACCUGUCUCUCGGUUGUAUUGCUACAAAAACUGUAUCUCUACAGCGGUCCGAGGAUGUCAAACCCAGGUAAGGUUCUUCGCGUUGCUUCGAAUUAAACCACAUGAUCCACCGCUUGUGCGGGCCCCCGUCAAUUCCUUUGAGUUUUAGUCUUGCGACCGUACUUCCCAGGCGGGGUACUUAUCGCGUUAGCUCCGACUCGGCAGGGGUCAAGUCCCACCAAGCCUAGUACCCAUCGUUUACAGCGUGGACUAC
Molecule: unclassified non-coding RNA, 379 nt
Filed under: uncultured Oligoflexales bacterium
Lineage: Bacteria; Pseudomonadati; Bdellovibrionota; Oligoflexia; Oligoflexales
Description: contains 16S-23S intergenic spacer region
Source: RNAcentral